UGGGCCCUGAAUCCGGAUAUCAAUGGCCACUACGUCAUUGUGUACAUUGUACACACGACGGAUAGGUGGAUCGAGAGGCCGGGAGAGAGAUGGAUAUCUGGCAAAAGACGCCCUGAGAAUCUGAUCACGUGUCAAGAUGAGCGCUGGGGGCGUGCCUAAUACAUGCAAGUCGAGCGAACAGAUAAGGAGCUUGCUCCUUUGACGUUAGCGGCGGACGGGUGAGUAACACGUGGGUAACCUACCUAUAAGACUGGAAUAACUUCGGGAAACCGAAGCUAAUGCCGGAUAACAUGUAGAACCGCAUGGUUCUACAGUGAAAGAUGGCCUUGCUAUCACUUAUAGAUGGACCCGCGCCGUAUUAGCUAGUUGGUAAGGUAACGGCUUACCAAGGCAACGAUACGUAGCCGACCUGAGAGGGUGAUCGGCCACACUGGAACUGAGACACGGUCCAGACUCCUACGGGAGGCAGC
This 470-nucleotide ribosomal RNA is filed under the name uncultured bacterium. RNAcentral's name for it is "bacterial SSU rRNA". The stretch from base 109 to 470 matches the Rfam family "Bacterial small subunit ribosomal RNA", at positions 1 to 352 of the family's 1533-position model. The record is from RNAcentral.